AAUCAACGCUGGCGGCGUGCCUAACACAUGCAAGUCGAACGGGAAAACAGGGGCAACUCUGUGAGUACAGUGGCGUACGGGUGAGUAACACGUGACUACCUACCCUCGAGUGGGGGAUAACCCCGGGAAACCGGGGCUAAUACCGCAUAACAUCGAGAGAUCAAAGGAGCAAUCCGCUUGAGGAGGGGGUCGCGGCUGAUUAGCUAGUUGGUGAGGUAACGGCUCACCAAGGCGAUGAUCGGUAGCCGGCCUGAGAGGGCGCACGGCCACACUGGAACUGAAACACGGUCCAGACUCCUACGGGAGGCAGCAGUGGGGAAUUUUGCGCAAUGGGGGAAACCCUGACGCAGCAACGCCGCGUGGAGGAUGAAGUCCCUUGGGACGUAAACUCCUUUCGACCCGGACGAUAAU
RNAcentral lists this ribosomal RNA (411 nucleotides) under bacterium Ellin623. RNAcentral's name for it is "bacterial SSU rRNA". It matches the Rfam family "Bacterial small subunit ribosomal RNA", at positions 32 to 452 of the family's 1533-position model. RNAcentral also lists the same sequence under 1 other name. Lineage: Bacteria; Pseudomonadati; Acidobacteriota; Terriglobia; Terriglobales; Acidobacteriaceae. The record is from RNAcentral.